Molecule: transfer RNA, 60 nt
Filed under: Heterocephalus glaber (naked mole-rat)
Lineage: Eukaryota; Metazoa; Chordata; Mammalia; Rodentia; Bathyergidae
Rfam family: tRNA
About the family: Transfer RNA (tRNA) molecules are approximately 80 nucleotides in length.
Source: Rfam by way of RNAcentral
GGUGGUAUAGCUCAGUGAUAGAGCACAUGCUUAGAAUGCAUGAGGCCUUGAGUUCUGCCA